This 336-nucleotide unclassified non-coding RNA is filed under the name soil metagenome. RNAcentral describes it as "partial contains 5.8S ribosomal RNA, internal transcribed spacer 2, and large subunit ribosomal RNA". The stretch from base 1 to 120 matches the Rfam family "5.8S ribosomal RNA", at positions 35 to 154 of the family's 154-position model. The record is from RNAcentral.
GAUGAAGAACGCAGCGAAACGCGAUAAGUAAUGUGAAUUGCAGAAUUUAGUGAAUCAUCGAACUUUUGAACGCACAUUGCGCCCCUUGGUAUUCCAUGGGGCAUGCCUGUUCGAGCGUCAUUUGUACCUUCAAGCUUUGCUUGGUGUUGGGUGUUUGUCUCGCCUUUGCGUGUAGACUCGCCUUAAAAUAAUUGGCAGCCGGCGUAUUGAUUUCGGAGCGCAGUACAUCUCGCGCUUUGCACUCAUAACGACAGCGUCCAAAAGUACAUUUUACACUCUUGACCUCGGAUCAGGUAGGGAUACCCGCUGAACUUAAGCAUAUCAAUAAGCGGAGGA